RNAcentral lists this small RNA (106 nucleotides) under Escherichia coli. RNAcentral describes it as "partial RtT sRNA". It matches the Rfam family "RtT RNA", at positions 27 to 130 of the family's 130-position model. Rfam says of the family: This family represents a bacterial cis-regulatory element known as RtT RNA. The record is from RNAcentral. Lineage: Bacteria; Pseudomonadati; Pseudomonadota; Gammaproteobacteria; Enterobacterales; Enterobacteriaceae.
AAGCUUCGACUAAGGUUCGGCUCGAGCGUCAGCGAGAGAGCGUUGCCGCAGGCAACGACCCGAAGGGCGAAGCGCGCAGCGCUGAGUAAUCCUUCCCCCACCACCA